AGUGAACGCUGGCGGUAGGCCUAACACAUGCAAGUCGAACGGCAGCACAGUAAGAGCUUGCUCUUACGGGUGGCGAGUGGCGGACGGGUGAGGAAUACAUCGGAAUCUACUUUUUCGUGGGGGAUAACGUAGGGAAACUUACGCUAAUACCGCAUACGACCUACGGGUGAAAGCAGGGGAUCUUCGGACCUUGCGCGAUUGAAUGAGCCGAUGUCGGAUUAGCUAGUUGGCGGGGUAAAGGCCCACCAAGGCGACGAUCCGUAGCUGGUCUGAGAGGAUGAUCAGCCACACUGGAACUGAGACACGGUCCAGACACCUACGGGAGGCAGCAGUGGGGAAUAUUGGACACUGGGCGCAAGCCUGAUCCAGCCAUACCGCGUGGGUGAAGAAGGCCUUCGGGUUGUAAAGCCCUUUUGUUGGGAAAGAAAAGCAGCAGGUUAAUACCCCGCUGUUCUGACGGUACCCAAAGAAUAAGCACCGGCGAACUUCGU
This 491-nucleotide ribosomal RNA is filed under the name uncultured bacterium. RNAcentral's name for it is "partial 16S ribosomal RNA". It matches the Rfam family "Bacterial small subunit ribosomal RNA", at positions 29 to 506 of the family's 1533-position model. The record is from RNAcentral.